This 958-nucleotide long non-coding RNA is filed under the name Triticum aestivum (bread wheat). Its description in RNAcentral is "long non-coding RNA (TAES_LNC022489)". The record is from RNAcentral. Lineage: Eukaryota; Viridiplantae; Streptophyta; Magnoliopsida; Poales; Poaceae.
CUAGAGUCUAACUUGUCUCCACGAGGGAGCGCCACGCGGCAACACAUCGCACCCUGAGUAAAUUGCUCGAAACCACCACAUUUGUGACUAGGAUAACAUGUUGUCACCGUUUUUUCCAAAAACCAUAGAUCACCACCACUUUUACGACAAGUGAGUCACAAAUCCCACUGAUUCAAAUAUUAAUCACGCUUAACAAUAAAACUACCAGGUUGGUUCCACCCAUUGGGCUGAGUUGGCAAAAAAGAAAGCCACACAUACAGGGUGACUAGUCUAUCUCUCUCGCAUUGUAUCGAGCACCUCGUGUGCACGCACCAAGCCGCCCUUCGCCAACAAUGCAGAAGGGGAAUGAGACCGCCGGGAGAAGAUUGGAGUAGAACUGCAGUGCCGCGUGAACCAUGGGGUCACGCUCGUCAACGCCGAUUCUCGGAUGCACACGUUGCACGGCCAUGGCAGCGCGCCGACGCCAGCCUCAAGCUGCGGCCGACCCUGGAUGACAGGCCAGUGAAUUUGGGUCAGUUGGCCGUAUACAAACAUUUUCAUUCCAAAAAUGAAUCGACUUGCGUGCUUCCAAGAACUUUUUUUGAAAUAAUUUUGCUGUGACCGAAAGAGUCGGCCAGCAAGCUUGUGGUCACCUCGGCGCUCACCUUUCCAAGUUGUUCAGCUGCCACAAGCAUUCAACCGAGCACUCUGCGUGUGCCCACCAGCUCCAUCUGCACCAAGUCGAGUAUACACUGAGCCACUGCUUGCGAUUUCUGAAUCUACUUAAUUGCGUUGCUUCCCUUGCCCGGUGGGGAUGUGCAACCCUCGGCGGCUCCGCGCAGAAGUGGGGAAGGGCGCCUCUAGGUGGCAGCGUGAGGAGAGGAGGGGUACCGGCGGCACCCAUGGAGGGUCGUGACCAGACGCCAGGCAGCCCACCGGGGGGAGAAGUUGCGCCGGAGGGGGCGGCGAUGGAGGAGAG